Gadus macrocephalus (Pacific cod) is the source of this 1087-nucleotide long non-coding RNA. RefSeq lists it as uncharacterized. Lineage: Eukaryota; Metazoa; Chordata; Actinopteri; Gadiformes; Gadidae. The transcript has 5 exons. The record is from RefSeq and is a predicted model, not a curated record.
CUGAUGGAGGAGUCGUGCUGAAGGCCCUGACUUGUGGAGGUGCUGGUGGAAGCCCUGCCUGGUGAAGGACGUCUGUCGUGGGAACAGGACUCUGUCUGAGGAGAGCUGCUGGAGGAGCUGAGACGCUGGAGGACGACUAGGAAUCGACCAACAAGGAUUCCUCAACGUGUUUCUGGAGCGGAGGCGAGCUGGUAGGGGAGCCGUGAAUAUGGAGGAUGACCAUCACUCUACCAACAAGUUUGUAUUAACCUAACAACAAAGUGGAAAUAAAGGGCUUAAAAAUAAGACCAACUACAUGUUUGUUACCAGACUUUAGGGCCAGACUCGCGCUGUUUGUCCCAGACCAGGACUCUGGCUGAGGAGAGCUGAUGGAGGAGCCAAGACUCUGGAGGACGACAUCACUCUACCAACAAGGAUCCUCAGACAAAUUACAUUUGUAAACAGACCAGGAAUCUGGAGGACUGAUGGAGAUGCCGUACAUCUGGAAGGCAAAUCCUGAGGACCACCAGGACUCUACCAUCAAAGAUUCCUCACACACCUGAGCUGAACCUCACCUGAUCCUGUUUGGUCGGGGGUAGACACACCUGAGCUAAACCCGCCCUGAUCCUGACAUCCUGCUGGUCCCAUCUCCUCAGUUCAUCUGAGCCUCGUCCUCCAGAAGACCUGCUGAGCUCAGCAGUCUGAGGCUGAUGGAUCAAUGACCUCCAGUGGGAGUGAUUUUCUUGACCCCACAUGUAACCGUGUGCUUCCACACGCCUUUCCCUCACGUCUGUCACUAACCUCACUACUUCACUACUCUCUACUGCUUCCUCUUUUCUUCCUUCUCUGUGGUUCAAACCAUUACACUAAAGGCGCGUCUUCCUGCCCUCAGAGGGGUUAGGGUUGAGAGUCAGGGUUUAGAGUCAGGGACAGAGCUGGUCAGGGAGGACUGCUUUUACACAAACCUCUUCACUUGCUUUCGGAAUUGUGGUGACAUUUUGAAAAGAUUCAUUUGGGAAAAUGUUUUCCUCUGCUUUCCUUUACAAAAUUGUAUUAAACUUCUGUCAAGUGUUUUUGUUUAUACAUUAAAAUCCCACAUUGACUUCUA